Transfer RNA from Rhodobacteraceae bacterium HTCC2083, 74 nucleotides. It matches the Rfam family "tRNA". From Rfam's summary of the family: Transfer RNA (tRNA) molecules are approximately 80 nucleotides in length. Their secondary structure includes four short double-helical elements and three loops (D, anti-codon, and T loops). Further hydrogen bonds mediate the characteristic L-shaped molecular structure. tRNAs have two regions of fundamental functional importance: the anti-codon, which is responsible for specific mRNA codon recognition, and the 3' end, to which the tRNAs corresponding amino acid is attached (by aminoacyl-tRNA synthetases). tRNAs cope with the degeneracy of the genetic code in two manners: having more than one tRNA (with a specific anti-codon) for a particular amino acid; and 'wobble' base-pairing, i.e. permitting non-standard base-pairing at the 3rd anti-codon position. Lineage: Bacteria; Pseudomonadati; Pseudomonadota; Alphaproteobacteria; Rhodobacterales; Paracoccaceae. The record is from Rfam.
GGGUCGGUAGCUCAGUUGGUUAGAGCGCACCCCUGAUAAGGGUGAGGUCGGAGGUUCAAAUCCUCCUCGACCCA